CGUCAUACACCUGCACCCGGGAGGAAAGGCGAGGCUCUGCAUCUAGAUUUACCUCGUUCUCUUUUGUCUCCGCUUUUUUUUCACAUUUCCUUGCGACCCUGGCCCUUGAGCGACAAAAAGGGGAAGCCAAGGCUGGCCCGAGGAACGGAGAGGGCACAUGGCCUAGCCACAAGUGGAGCUUCUGCUCCGCCCGAAGGGAUGCGCUGGAGCGGCCUCUUCCUUCUGCCACGGUCUUUCUUUGCCAACUAGUAGUAGAGAUGGGGUUUCACCAGGUUAGCCAGGCUGGUCUUGAACUCCAGACCUCAAGGGAUCCGCCUGCCUCAGCUUUCCAAAGUGCUGGGAUUACAGGUGGAGACUGGACCUCAGAAGAGGGAGUGGGUGCCCCGAGAACUCACAGCUAGCGGACAGUGGAAAGGGCAGGAGCCGGACCAAGGUGAGGACAGUGGAACUGAAGGCCGCUGGUUACCUCUCCUGCCCUCCGCUGGCCACAGUGGAGAAGACAGCCCCUCCCUCCUGCUCUGACCUGACAGUGUUCAUCCAUCGCCCUGUAUUAGCGAAGAACAACAUCAAGCUGGCUAGCAAGGAACUGUAUACAGGGUCCAGCUGGGUAUCACACUGGAUCUCACCCAAAGCUUAGAUGUGAUCCAGCUCAGUAUCACAAAGCAGAACGAAAAGGAUGUGUUUGGGCUGAGAGGCCAUACAUUGGCUCCGGCAUGACGGGUGACUUCUUCCGAGUCUGGCUUCUGCAGCACACAGGGCUUCGCCAGCACCCAGCUCCUGCAGCAUGGGCAGCUCCUGUGACAGCAGGCGCCCGCAGCCUGCAAAGCGUCUCCAGUGCCGCCGCCUCAGUGAACCUCAACCAGCGGCACCUAGCAGCUUUCUCUGCCACCCUCUUCAGGUAGUUCUGUAGCAGCGCGUUUCUCAUGAGACACUUCCCUGUGAGCAGCUUUUUCUACCCUUGAGGAUGGAUUUCCAGCAAAUUCUGCCCAUGUGGUACCACAGCCACUUCUCUGCCAUUCAGUGAAACUGCCGUUGUGCCCUCUUCAAGGUCUGGAUCUAAGCCCAGGGACCAGGAAACCUCUUGCUUGAGUGCUGGAACUCAGGCCAGAAGGCAGGAAGCCCGCCUGACCCCAUGUCUCAGGCUGCCAGAGGAGCGUGCGAUGAGGAAGGCUGGACUGUCUUCACAGGACACCAGGGAGAAGCCUCAAGCCACUGCCCCCUGACAAGUCGCAGCUCUCCAGCCUGUCUCCUCACUCCCCUCCCCUCCACAUGGGGGGGUUGGGGUGGGGGCGGGGAAGGUUCGGGGCAGGGGUCAUUUCAGCUACUGGGCACCAGUCUCCUCCUCAUGUUUAUCCUGUUCCCUUUGCUUGAAAGGUUCGUACUCCAGAUCCUUGUAAAACCGCUUCUCACCCUUUGAGUCUCAGCUUAAAUGUCCCCUCCUUGGAGGGGUCUUCCCUGACAAUGAAGCUCCGACCGUCCUCUCCUGUUUUACCCAGUUCAUUUCUUUCUGGCAUUUGUAACUACUUGAAGUUAAAGUGUGUGCCAUGU
RNAcentral lists this long non-coding RNA (1548 nucleotides) under Homo sapiens (human). RNAcentral describes it as "HSALNT0384230". Lineage: Eukaryota; Metazoa; Chordata; Mammalia; Primates; Hominidae. The record is from RNAcentral.